RNAcentral lists this long non-coding RNA (245 nucleotides) under Elaeis guineensis (African oil palm). Its description in RNAcentral is "long non-coding RNA (EGUI_LNC049304)". Lineage: Eukaryota; Viridiplantae; Streptophyta; Magnoliopsida; Arecales; Arecaceae. The record is from RNAcentral.
UCUCUCCUUUAGCAUUGACAGUGGUGUUGGUGUCGGUAGUGAGAUGGUGUGGCGGUGUUGGUGAAAGGUGGAGUUGUCUAGGACUUGGAAGAGAGGAGAGGAAAAAAGAAGAGGGGUAUGGGAUGGUGGCGUCGGCAAUUGAUUACACUGGAGAUGGAGGGAAGGAGAAAGAAGGAGACAAAAAUGGUUGGCGCCUCUUGUCAAGCGAGCGAAGGGUGUGGGUAUUGGGGAUCAAAAGUGGCUCC